CCUACGGGAGGCUGCAGUGAGGAAUAUUGGUCAAUGGACGGAAGUCUGAACCAGCCAUGCCGCGUGCAGGAAGACGGCUCUCUGAGUUGUAAACUGCUUUUGUGCAAGGGUAAACCUGAAUACGUGUAUUCAGCUGAAAGUACUGUACGAAUAAGGAACGGCAAACCCCGUGCCAGCAGCCGCGGUAAUACGGAGGGUACAAGCGUUAUCCGGUUUGAUUGGGUUUAAAGGGUGCGUAGGCGGAUUGAUAAGUUAGAGGUGAAAUGUACGGGAUUAACUCGGGAACUGCCUCUAAUACGGUUGAUCUAGAGAGUAGAGGCGGUAGGCGGAAUGUAUGGGGUAGCGGUGAAAUGCU
RNAcentral lists this ribosomal RNA (355 nucleotides) under uncultured bacterium. RNAcentral describes it as "partial 16S ribosomal RNA". It matches the Rfam family "Bacterial small subunit ribosomal RNA", at positions 338 to 690 of the family's 1533-position model. The record is from RNAcentral.